Molecule: ribosomal RNA, 465 nt
Filed under: uncultured bacterium
Lineage: Bacteria
Description: bacterial SSU rRNA
Rfam family: Bacterial small subunit ribosomal RNA
Source: RNAcentral
GACGAACGCUGGCGGCGUGCUUAAAACAUGCAAGUCGAACGGACUUCUCAUGAAGCUUGCGAUUGAGAAGUUAGUGGCGGACGGGUGAGUAACGCGUGGGCAACCUGCCCCUGAGCCCGGGAUAACAGUUCGAAAGGACUGCUAAGACCGGAUAUACUUGCGGUGAAGCAUUUCACUGCAAGGAAAGGGAACGCUCAGGGAUGGGCCCGCGUCCCAUUAGCUAGUUGGUGAGGUAACGGCCCACCGAGGCGACGAUGGGUAGCCGGCCUGAGAGGGUGAACGGCCACACUGGGACUGAGACACGGCCCAGACUCCUACGGGAGGCAGCAGUUGGGAAUCUUCGGCAAUGGGCGCAAGCCUGACCGAGCAACGCCGCGUGAGUGAUGAAGGUUUUCGGAUUGUAAAGCUCUGUCUUCCGGGACGAUAAUGACGGUACCGGAGGAGGAAGCCACGGCUAACUACGUG